GGUUAAGUUAGAAAGGGCGCACGGUGGAUGCCUUGGCACUAGGAGCCGAUGAAGGACGGGACUAACACCGAUAUGCUUCGGGGAGCUGUAAGUAAGCUUUGAUCCGGAGAUUUCCGAAUGGGGGAACCCACUGCUCGUAAUGGAGUAGUAUCUUUACCUGAAUACAUAGGGUAUUGAAGGCAUACCCGGGGAACUGAAACAUCUAAGUACCCGGAGGAAGAGAAAGCAAACGCGAUUCCCUGAGUAGCGGCGAGCGAAACGGGACAUAGCCCAAACCAAGAGGCUUGCCUCUUGGGGUUGUAGGACACUCAACAUGGAGUUACAAAGGAACGGGGUAGAUGAAGCGACCUGGAAAGGUCAGCCGUAGAAGGUAAAAGCCCUGUAGUUGAAACUUCGUUCCCUCCUGAGUGGAUCCUGAGUACGGCCGGACA
RNAcentral lists this non-coding RNA (431 nucleotides) under Bacillus sp. MRMR6. RNAcentral's name for it is "Bacterial large subunit ribosomal RNA". It matches the Rfam family "Bacterial large subunit ribosomal RNA", at positions 1 to 424 of the family's 2925-position model. The record is from Rfam by way of RNAcentral. Lineage: Bacteria; Bacillati; Bacillota; Bacilli; Caryophanales; Bacillaceae.